CUAUGGAUGGAUCAUGCCCAAAGAGCUGCUGCUGCUGCAACUGUUGCUGCUGAGCAUGCUGUGAUGGCUGAACUGGAACCUGAUGCUGUAAUGUCUGAGAAGUCUGGGUCAAGAGUUGAGAUGCUUGAUUUUGCAUUUGUUGUUGUUGUUGCUGCUGCUGCUGCUGGUGCUGCUGCUGCAUUCGUUGCAAAUGUUGCUGCUGUAGUUGCUGCUGCUGUAACUGUUGUUGAAGGUUUUGCUGCUGUAGUUGCAGCUGCUGUUGCUGUAGCUGCUGUUGCUGUAGCUGAUGCAACUGCUGUUGCAAGGCAUGCUGCUGCU
Podarcis lilfordi (Lilford's wall lizard) is the source of this 318-nucleotide non-coding RNA. The record is from the annotation of a GenBank genome assembly. Lineage: Eukaryota; Metazoa; Chordata; Lepidosauria; Squamata; Lacertidae.